GACGAACGCUGGCGGCGUGCUUAACACAUGCAAGUCGAACGGAAAGGCCCUGCUUUUGUGGGGUGCUCGAGUGGCGAACGGGUGUGUAACACGUGAGUAACCUGCCCUUGACUGUGGGAUAACUUCUGGAAACUGGGGCUAAUACCCGAUAGGAGCUCCUGCUGCAUGGUGGGGGUUGGAAAGUUUCGGCGGUUGGGGAUGGACUCGCGGCUUAUCAGCUUGUUGGUGGGGUAGUGGCUUACCAAGGCUUUGACGGGUAGCCGGCCUGAGAGGGUGACCGGCCACAUUGGGACUGAGAUACGGCCCAGACUCCUACGGGAGGCAGCAGUGGGGAAUAGUGCACAAUGGGCGGAAGCCUGAUGCAGCAACGCCGCGUGCGGGAUGACGGCCUUCGGGUUGUAAACCGCUUUCGCCUGUGACGAAGCGUGAGUGACGGUAAUGGGUAAAGAAGCACCGGCUAACUACGUG
This 468-nucleotide ribosomal RNA is filed under the name uncultured bacterium. RNAcentral's name for it is "partial 16S ribosomal RNA". It matches the Rfam family "Bacterial small subunit ribosomal RNA", at positions 28 to 507 of the family's 1533-position model. The record is from RNAcentral.